This 73-nucleotide transfer RNA is filed under the name Fragilariopsis kerguelensis. It matches the Rfam family "tRNA", at positions 6 to 67 of the family's 71-position model. Rfam says of the family: Transfer RNA (tRNA) molecules are approximately 80 nucleotides in length. Their secondary structure includes four short double-helical elements and three loops (D, anti-codon, and T loops). Lineage: Eukaryota; Bacillariophyta; Bacillariophyceae; Bacillariales; Bacillariaceae. The record is from RNAcentral.
CGUGGCCGAGUGGUUAAGGCGAGAGAUUAGAAAUCUCUUGGAGUUUCUCCGCGCAGGUUCGAGUCCUGUCGGU